Molecule: ribosomal RNA, 497 nt
Filed under: uncultured bacterium
Lineage: Bacteria
Description: partial 16S ribosomal RNA
Rfam family: Bacterial small subunit ribosomal RNA
Source: RNAcentral
GAUGAACGCUGGCGGCGUGCCUAAUACAUGCAAGUCGAGCGAACGGACGAGACGCUUGCUUUUCUGAUGUUAGCGGCGGACGGGUGAGUAACACGUGGAUAACCUACCUAUAAGACUGGGAUAACUUCGGGAAACCGGAGAUAAUACCGGAUAAUAUUUUGAACCGCGUGGUUCAAAAGUGAAAGACGGUCUUGCUGUCACUUAUAGAUGGAUCCGCGCUGCUGUAGCUAGUUGGUAAGGUAAAGGCUUACCAAGGCAACGAUGCAUAGCCGACCUGAGAGGGUGAUCGGCCACCCUGGAACUGAGACACGGUCCAGACUCCUACGGGAGGCAGCAGUAGGGAAUCUUCCGCAAUGGUCGAAAGCCUGACGGAGCAACGCCGCGUGAGUUAUGAAGGUCUUCGGAUCGUAAAACUCUGUUAUUAGGGAAGAACAUAUGUGUAAGUAACUGUGCACAUCUUGACGGUACCUAAUCAGAAAGCCACGGCUAACUACGUG